GAAAUUGCAGUGAAGAGGCUCUCACGGAAAUCAGGACAAGGAUUAGAGGAACUUAUGAACGAAGUGGUUGUGAUAUCGAAGCUGCAACAUCGGAAUCUAGUGAAAUUACUUGGAUGUUGCAUUGAAGGUGAAGAAAGGAUGUUAGUCUAUGAAUAUAUGCCAAAGAAAAGCUUGGAUGCAUAUCUAUUUGGUAAAAUUUAUCACCUCUGUUUUCAACUCUGUUUUUCACCAUUUUGCUCUGGAUACUAAUGAUCUUGCUACCUUUUUCUCAGACCCAUUGAAGCAAAAGAUUCUUGAUUGGAAGACUCGGUUCAACAUAAUGGAAGGAAUUUGCAGAGGUCUUUUGUACCUUCACAGAGAUUCAAGACUAAAGAUCAUACACAGAGAUCUAAAAGCCAGCAACAUUUUGUUAGAUGAGAAUCUAAACCCCAAGAUAUCUGAUUUCGGACUUGCAAGAAUUUUCCGAGCGAAUGAAGAUGAAGCUAACACAAGAAGGGUUGUUGGAACGUAGUAAGUAUCCAUUCCCAAAUACAUAAGAAACAUUGUGGUAUGCGGGUUUAUUGAAAUUUUGUUUUUGCAGUGGCUACAUGUCACCAGAAUAUGCAAUGGAAGGUUUCUUUUCAGAAAAAUCAGACGUUUUCAGCUUGGGGGUUAUAUUUCUAGAGAUCAUUAGUGGGAGAAGAAACUCUAGUUCUCACAAGGAAGAGAGUAAUCUGAAUCUUUUGGCUUAUGUAAGUGUACUAAGCAGUGUUUAGUAACUUAUAGUUAAAUUAAGCCAUUGAAACUUACCUCAAAGUGGGUUGUUACAGGCAUGGAAGUUGUGGAACGAUGGUGAGGCUGCCUCUCUAGCAGAUCCAGCCGUCUUUGAUAAGAGUUUUGAGAAAGAGAUAGAGAAAUGUGUUCAUAUUGGACUGUUAUGUGUGCAAGAAGUAGCAAACGAUAGACCUAAUGUUUCAAGCGUGAUAUGGAUGCUAACUACCGAGAAUACAAACCUCGCCGAGCCGAAGCAGCCUGCAUUUAUAGCAAGAAGAGGAGCUUCUGAGGCUGAAUCUUCUGACCAGAGUAGUCAAAAGAUAUCCAUCAAUGAUGUGAGCCUCACAGCUGUAACAGGGCGUUAAUCUCACCCAGCCAAUCUCAGCCUGUUUAUAUAUAAUAAAUCUGUAAUAUAUACGUUUUGAGAAACUCCUAUGUUUACAAAUUUUGUUAUUCUACGUUUGUUCAAUGGUUAGAUGAAUGAAUAAGAGAUGUAUUUCAGAGAAGUUAUUUUUAGAUUCAACUGAGCUUUGUUGAAACUUUACAUAUUCUUAGAUAUGAUCAGAUUUUUGGAAUAAACUAACCUGGAUUAAGAAACUGAACCUGAAGGAAGAGGAGAAGAACAAAAAUCACCCAUGUUCUUGAGAAGCCACAGUAGGGUUUUGUUUUAAGACAAGGAACUAAAACACUAUUAUUAGUUUUGUGUUUUUGGGUAGUUUUGCUAUAGUACAUAGAAACAAACGUGGAUAAUGGAUAAGACUAUAAGAUCAGAAUUGACUUUU
This 1535-nucleotide long non-coding RNA is filed under the name Capsella grandiflora. RNAcentral describes it as "long non-coding RNA (CGRA_LNC001401)". The record is from RNAcentral. Lineage: Eukaryota; Viridiplantae; Streptophyta; Magnoliopsida; Brassicales; Brassicaceae.